UCAUCUCUUAAAGGUCUCCGGUGCGCUCGUAAUAUGAAAUAAAACCUUUAAAAUCGGUAACCGCUUAAGAAAUGAAAGGUGUGGGCCUACAAGUCAGUUAUUUUACUGCCAAGACUAGGCUACCUUCAGACAUCCCCAUCCGCUGUUUCCUGGUACAGGCGGCGCAACAUCCCGAUUCGUGCCCUGUCGGCAUAUGGCGACAACAGGAUGCCUCCUUUGUAAUUACGUAACAUUUUAUCCCUCUAGCAAUAAUAAAAUUACUGUCGUAAACUGCACGACUCUUACUACAUUCGUAUUCAGUGACAUUUGACACAAUACAGACCGUGCAGGUAAGAGGCGAGGAAACCAAUCGUCGUUUGAAUGCCAAAUUAAUAAUUUAUGACAAAAUGGAAACGGGCUCAGAUAGAGGACCGUUAGUGGGCUAUUAUAGUUCUCCUUCCUGGAUGUGUUGGAUAUGGAGAGCGAUAUCGCAGUCUUAAUGUAAAAGGAGGGGUGUAUCAUCUGUGCCGCAGUUUCGGUGCUGUUAGAAGUUGUCGGGCUGCAUCGUCUGAUGAUGGAGCAGAAGGUGCACCGUGGAAUAAAACCUGCACAGCCCGGACUGUUUCUUAAAGAGACAGUCACCUCUACAGUCCUGAUGAUUGGGGGCUUUCCCGCUGCGCCCCACCCAUUACACAGCAGAACAGAUCCUGUUCAUAAAUAGGCUGAUCGGAUCUCCAUAUGGAUCAAAGUUUUAGAAUGAGAGAGAAAACAAUCUUAAUCUGAUUAGAGUUGAUCACGUUAUACAUCUUAUCACGAUAUAUGUAUAGGCUAUGAUGUGCUGCUCAAAACUCUUUUGUAUGAUUGGAUCACCAUAGUACAGUGGGAUUAUUCUAAACCCAGCACAAUAAUUCAUUUCAGGAAUCAAAUGUAAUAAGACUUUAAACUGGUCAAACAAUAGUUCAUAACUUUUGUAUAAUUUUGUAUACAUUUCAGACAUUUUGAUUUUGCACUGGAUUUGUUUAACCAGUGCAAGGAAGAUGAUACAUUAAGGUAUCAAUUGGGACUUAUGUUGUUUAAAAAAAGUAUUAAAAAUAAUCUAACAAUCA
Labrus bergylta (ballan wrasse) is the source of this 1085-nucleotide long non-coding RNA. RefSeq lists it as uncharacterized. The record is from RefSeq and is a predicted model, not a curated record. NCBI's taxonomy places the organism in Eukaryota, Metazoa, Chordata, Actinopteri, Labriformes, Labridae.